AUAAAAAUAUGGGUACCACUCAAUCUAUUGUAGGUAAUUUGAUGAAUUUCCCUUUUAGAUAAGACUUUGUUUGAAAAAAUUUAAAAUUUCGUCUAAACAGGCCCUAAGAGCUUUACAUAUCUGAGUAUUGCCGCCAAAUGCAUAUUUUUUCGGGUGAAACUUCAGGGGCUCGAAUGGCGCAAGAAGCAGCAGCUAAAACCCUAAUUUUUCCCAUCAUCGAUUUGUCUUCUCCCGAUCGCGUUGCCACUUCAAGACUAAUACGCCAGGCAUGCGUCGAUUCUGGUUUUUUCUACCUCAUAAACCAUGGUAUUGAUGAAGACAUGUUUGAGCAAGUAUUUGAUCAAAGCAAGAAGUUUUUUCAGCUCUCAAUACAAGAAAAGUUGGAGUUAUCACGUAAUAAGGAUCACAGGGGCUAUACACCAUUGUACGUGGAGACUCUUGACACUUCAAUAAAGUCUAAAGGGGACUCGAAGGAGAGCUUCUACAUUGGCCCUGUGCCUAUUGAAGGCAGUUCCUCACAAGAAACACAUAUCGAUGAUGUAAAUCAGUGGCCUUCCGAAGCUACUUUGCCCCAUUGGAGAGCCACAAUGGAAGCUUAUUAUGACAAGGUCUUGAGUGCUGGGAUUAGAGUGAUAUCGUUGAUCGCUUUGGCGCUGAACUUAAGCGAAGAUUUCUUCAUGAGAGUGGGUGCACUAGAUUCACCAGCAGCAUUUAUUCGUCUUUUACAUUAUCCAGGUGAACUUCCAUCGUCAGAGGACUUAAAUUUUGGUGCAUCUGCUCAUUCUGAUUAUGGAAUGAUCACACUUUUGCUCACAGAUGGAGUUAAUGGCCUUCAGAUCUGCAGGGAAAAAGAUAAGCAACCACAAAUAUGGGAGGAUGUACCUCACCUCAAAGGGGCAUUUGUUGUUAACAUUGGUGAUAUGUUGGAGCGGUGGACCAAUUGUUUAUUCCGUCGACUUAAGCGGAAGUCAGCUUUGUCUAGGGGCUCAAACUUGGUGAGCUGUGGAAAUGGAGCUUUCAAACAUCAAUUCAACGUUACACAGAGUAAUCGCAAGUGGUCAAGAACGAUAUUCAGUGGCAUUUUUCUUAGAUCCAAAUUUUGACUGUUUGGUGGAGUGCCUGGAAAGUUGCUGCUCUGAGACAAUUCCGGCAAGAUUUCCUCCAAUUCGCAGUGGGGACUAUCUGAAGAAGCGACUUUGGUUGACUUACUCUUCAGGUUGAUAAGAAAGUUGUCAGGGAACAUGGCUAGAGGAUAGGCAUGAAUCUGGUAUA
Molecule: RNA transcript, 1272 nt
Organism: Amborella trichopoda
Lineage: Eukaryota; Viridiplantae; Streptophyta; Magnoliopsida; Amborellales; Amborellaceae
Gene name: kihadalactone A synthase LFS
Source: RefSeq, a predicted model, not a curated record